GACGAACCGUCCUAACGUUGUUCGGAAUCACUGGGCUUAAAGGGCGCGUAGGCGGCUUGCCAAGUCCGGGGUGAAAUCCUGCAGCUUAACUGUAGAAGGGCCUUGGAUACUGGCAAGCUCGAGGGAGGUAGGGGUCGCUGGAACUUCCGGUGGAGCGGUGAAAUGCGUUGAUAUCGGAAGGAACGCCGGUGGCGAAAGCGAGCGACUGGACCUCUUCUGACGCUGAGGCGCGAAAGCUAGGGGAGCAAACGGG
Molecule: ribosomal RNA, 253 nt
Filed under: uncultured Gemmata sp.
Lineage: Bacteria; Pseudomonadati; Planctomycetota; Planctomycetia; Gemmatales; Gemmataceae
Description: partial 16S ribosomal RNA
Rfam family: Bacterial small subunit ribosomal RNA
Source: RNAcentral